GGGAGUGGUCCUAAAACCCCGUGUGUGCAU
Molecule: non-coding RNA, 30 nt
Filed under: Homo sapiens (human)
Lineage: Eukaryota; Metazoa; Chordata; Mammalia; Primates; Hominidae
Source: RNAcentral